UACGUAGGGUGCAAGCGUUGUCCGGAUUUAUUGGGCGUAAAGAGCUCGUAGGCGGUUAGUCACGUCGGAUGUGAAAACUCAGAGCUUAACUCUGAGCCUGCAUUCGAUACGGGCUGACUAGAGUGUUGUAGGGGAGACUGGAACUCCUGGUGUAGCGGUGAAAUGCGCAGAUAUCAGGAAGAACACCGGUGGCGAAGGCGGGUCUCUGGGCAACUACUGACGCUGAGGAGCGAAAGCGUGGGGAGCAAACAGGAUUAGAUACCCGCGUAGUCC
Molecule: ribosomal RNA, 273 nt
Filed under: uncultured bacterium
Lineage: Bacteria
Description: partial 16S ribosomal RNA
Rfam family: Bacterial small subunit ribosomal RNA
Source: RNAcentral